Molecule: unclassified non-coding RNA, 562 nt
Filed under: Hevea brasiliensis (rubber tree)
Lineage: Eukaryota; Viridiplantae; Streptophyta; Magnoliopsida; Malpighiales; Euphorbiaceae
Source: RNAcentral
AGGACUGGUCUAAAACAAAGUAAUAAUAUCAGUUCAAAGUCGUUCAGGCUUUGUUUGUUACUUACUCUUAACAUGCCAAAGGUAAGAAACAUAUUUUGGAAUCAAACUUAGAAAACCAACACAGCGGUUGCAGCAGCAGCAUAAAAAAGAAGAGACAGAAAUGAACAUAUAGAAGUUGAGCCCUCGAAAUGGUUUCAUGGUAUAUCGAACGUUCAAAGCCAAUUAUCUCACUAGAACUUUUCAAUAGCUACUCCAUCUCUCAGAACCUCGUAAGCUUCCCUACUUCGGGUUUUCUUCAACCCAGCUGUGAAAUGAACCUUGGAUUUUUCUGAAGAGAUGGCAGUAACUUUUACCCACACCAUCACCUUUGUUUUCAUUCCUUCAAUCUCGACUAGCUUUCCUUUUUCCAGAUAUCCAGUAACAGCUGUAGAGAAGCGCAAUACAGAUGAAUCCUUGUAGCCAACUUCACAUACAGAGGGUAUAAAGACUGUGAGCUUUCGUGUUUCUUCAUUGAACUCGUAAUUGGUGGCAUCACGAGGAAAAAUACCUACUGGAACAUCAU